Molecule: RNA transcript, 2741 nt
Organism: Gossypium raimondii (Peruvian cotton)
Lineage: Eukaryota; Viridiplantae; Streptophyta; Magnoliopsida; Malvales; Malvaceae
Gene name: cyclin-dependent kinase C-2 C
Exons: 10
Source: RefSeq, a predicted model, not a curated record
UUUUGCAAAAACAAGAAAACCUGUAAAUUCUAUUAUGGACCCACGAAUCUCUCUCUCAUUUUUCUUUCCUUUUUUUCUUUGGUAAUUCUUACGUUCCCUCCGCAGAUCUCGCAACUAAACACCAAGACAGAGAAGAAGAAGAAAAAAACAGAACAAUAUCUGUUUUUUCUUUCUUUCUUUUUCUUUUCUCCCCUCUGUUUUUCUUCUUGGUAACUCUGUUUUGUUUUAUUUCUCCUUCAUUUUUCCCCAGGUUAAAAUGGUUCAACUUUUGUUCUAAUGUGGGAAUGAUUUACCAUUUUUGACCCAGACCUGUUUUUCUUGAUCUGGGUCAAUCUUGGUUUUUUUUUUUUCGAGCUGAACAAAUGGGUUGUAUUACCUCCAAACAUGGCGGCGGUAGACCGGUGACAGAUUCCCCUGUUCCAGUGGUUCGUAAAAACGGCCAUGGUUUUACAUUAUCAUCUUCAUCAUCGAAACAUCAACCUGAGAGGUUAGAGGUUGAUAAAGAUGAUGAGAAAUUGGGUGAAAAUGGUAAAAUUAUUAACCCAAAGAAAAGCAGAGAUUUGAGGAAAUCUAAAAGGGAUGGUUCAGGGAGAAAGAGCGGUUCUUUUAGCUUCAAACUUGGCUUUUCUCAAAGGUUUGUGGAGGCUGAACAAGUCGCCGCCGGUUGGCCUGCUUGGCUUAGCUCUGCCGCUGGUGAAGCCGUUCACGGUUGGGUUCCUUUGCAGGCUGAUGCUUUUGAGAAACUCGACAAGAUCGGACAAGGCACGUACAGUAACGUGUUCAAAGCACGCGAAGUCGAAACCGGAAGGUUGGUUGCUUUGAAGAAGGUGCGGUUCGACAACUUUCAACCCGAAAGCAUUCGGUUUAUGGCUCGAGAAAUAACGAUCCUACGUAGGCUGAACCAUCCUAAUGUCAUGAAAUUAGAAGGGGUGAUCACAUCAAGGUUUUCAAGUACUAUAUACCUUGUAUUUGAGUACAUGGAACAUGAUCUUGCUGGUUUAUCAUCUUGUCCUGAUAUCAACUUCACUGAGGCUCAGGUGAAAUGCUAUAUGAAGCAGCUAUUAAUGGGGUUAGAGCAUUGCCAUUUGCGAGGUGUAAUGCAUAGAGACAUCAAAGCAUCCAACAUAUUGGUGAACAAUCAAGGAAUUUUGAAGUUAGGGGAUUUCGGAUUAGCAAACAUCUUAACUUCAAAGAACAAAAACCAGUUAACUAGCCGAGUCGUCACUCUCUGGUAUCGCCCACCCGAGCUUUUGAUGGGAUCUACAAGUUAUGAAGUCUCGGUGGAUUUAUGGAGUGUUGGUUGUGUUUUUGCUGAAGUUCUUAUGGGGAAACCUAUUCUUAAAGGCAGAACUGAGGUUGAACAACUGCAUAAAAUCUUCAAACUAUGUGGUUCACCACCAGAUGAGUACUGGAAAAAAAUGAAGCUUCCUCAUUCGACCAUGUUUAAACCCCAACAUCCUUACGAAAGUUGUCUCCAACAAAGGUGUAAAGACAUCCCUUCAACUGCAUUGGACUUGUUGGAAAUCCUUCUUUCUGUUGAACCCCAUAAGCGUGGAACUGCAUCUUCAUCUCUCAUGUCCGAGUAUUUCCAUACGAAACCCUUCCCUUCCGACCCUUCAAGCUUGCCCAAGUAUUCGCCUAAUAAAGAAAUCGAUGCCAAACAGCGAGAUGAUUUGCGAAGGAAGAAGUUAGGAGGAGUUAGAGAUCCAGGAGUGACAAGAAAAACAAGAAGACCACGUAAAACAUUGCAGGAAGCUAACAAUCUCAAUAAAACAAUAACGAAGGAGGACCUACGGGAUAAUGCUCGAUUCGGUGGCAAAAACCAGGGAAUUACUGCAAAUAAUCCGAAACCCAAGGAUGGAAUUGUUCAUCUGAAUCAACCGGCGUUCGAUACAAGAUCGGAGACAUCUCAAUUGACAACGAUGUCACAAGGCGAUAUUGUCACCGCUCCGCCACCGGUAAUCACUGGAUCCAACAGCUUUUCAUGGGCGAAGAAACGGAAAGAUGCGAAAUCUACGCUUUCUUAUAACCAACCUAGUUCGAUCAGUCAAAUCAGUGAUCAAGAUUCAUCGAGCUUCAUCUUCUCAAAUACGAACAACAUUUUCAAUUCAUCUACACAAGAGAACCAAAAUGUUUCUGAAGGUGUUCAUACUGAUUCUAGGAAGCUCAAAGCCGCAGACGGAUCAGAAAAGCUUGAUUUUUCUGGUUUAAUUGAUCAACAAGCACAAAACAAGUUUGAGAAAUCAGAUUUCUUUGACGCCAUUGAUGGGUUUCGUCAUGAAGAAAUGAUGACUAAACACAAUAACAAGUUGAAAGUUGGGUGUUCGGGACCAUUAGUCUUUGAAUCCGAUCAAGUUGAUGAACUCCUACAAAGGAAUGAAAACCAUAUCCGCAUUGAGCUCGUGUUCAAAUAGCUUGAGUUAUCAAGCAUGAUGAAUUCCAAGGAUAACCGUGCUAAAAGUCGGAUUGCAUUUUACCCCUCUACUUAAAAUUGGAGAAAUGAAGCAAAAGGGUUACCGUUAUCUUUCAAGGGAAAAGCUUUAGGCAUAGAGAGCAAGAAGGGGGUUGAAGUUUGAAGCAAGCAAAGCUUGAAUUUAAUGAUGAUAUUGCCAUUUGACUUAUUUUAUAUGCCAAAAAUUCAAUUGUAUAAAGAAAAAAGAAAAAAGAAAAAAGAAAAGAGAUUGUAUAUUCAAUAUUGAGCUAUGAUUUUAUAAAAUUGAAUCCUUCAAAUGACCAACAAA